GAUGAACGCUAGCGACAGGCUUAACACAUGCAAGUCGAGGGGCAGCAGGGGAGUAGCAAUACUCCCGCUGGCGACCGGCGCACGGGUGAGUAACACGUAUGCAACCUGCCCUUGUCAGGGGGAUAAGCGGAAGAAAUUCCGUCUAAUACCGCAUAACGCUGCGGGGAGACAUCUCCCUGCAGCCAAAGAUUUAUCGGACAAGGAUGGGCAUGCGGCGCAUUAGCUUGUUGGCGGGGUAACGGCCCACCAAGGCGACGAUGCGUAGGGGUUCUGAGAGGAAGGUCCCCCACACUGGUACUGAGACACGGACCAGACUCCUACGGGAGGCAGCAGUGAGGAAUAUUGGUCAAUGGCCGGGAGGCUGAACCAGCCAAGUCGCGUGAGGGAAGACGGUCCUAUGGAUUGUAAACCUCUUUUGUCAGGGAGCAAAAACUGCCACGCGUGGCGGGAUGAGAGUACCUGAAGAAAAAGCAUCGGCUAACUCCGUGCCAGCAGCCGCGGUAAUACGGAGGAUGCGAGCGUUAUCCGGAUUUAUUGGGUUUAAAGGGUGCGUAGGCGGACAGUUAAGUCAGCGGUAAAAUUGAGAGGCUCAACCUCUUCCCGCCGUUGAAACUGAUUGUCUUGAGUGGGCGAGAAGUAUGCGGAAUGCGUGGUGUAGCGGUGAAAUGCAUAGAUAUCACGCAGAACUCCGAUUGCGAAGGCAGCAUACCGGCGCCCAACUGACGCUGAAGCACGAAAGCGUGGGUAUCGAACAGGAUUAGAUACCCUGGUAGUCCACGCAGUAAACGAUGAAUACUAAUUGUUCGGGUCGAGUGAGAUCUGAGUGAUACAGCGAAAGCGUUAAGUAUUCCACCUGGGGAGUACGCCGGCAACGGUGAAACUCAAAGGAAUUGACGGGGGCCCGCACAAGCGGAGGAACAUGUGGUUUAAUUCGAUGAUACGCGAGGAACCUUACCCGGGCUCAAACGACACAGGAAUGAUCUGAGAAAUCAGGCAGUCCUUCGGGACCUGUGUCGAGGUGCUGCAUGGUUGUCGUCAGCUCGUGCCGUGAGGUGUCGGCUUAAGUGCCAUAACGAGCGCAACCCCCAUCGACAGUUGCCAGCAGGUCAAGCUGGGCACUCUGUCGAGACUGCCGGCGCAAGCUGUGAGGAAGGCGGGGAUGACGUCAAAUCAGCACGGCCCUUACGUCCGGGGCGACACACGUGUUACAAUGGCAGGUACAGCGGGAAGCCACCUGGCGACAGGGAGCGGAACCCGAAAGCCUGUCUCAGUUCGGAUUGGAGUCUGCAACUCGACUCCAUGAAGCUGGAUUCGCUAGUAAUCGCGCAUCAGCCACGGCGCGGUGAAUACGUUCCCGGGCCU
This 1362-nucleotide ribosomal RNA is filed under the name uncultured bacterium. RNAcentral describes it as "16S ribosomal RNA". It matches the Rfam family "Bacterial small subunit ribosomal RNA", at positions 28 to 1381 of the family's 1533-position model. The record is from RNAcentral.